This 1298-nucleotide long non-coding RNA is filed under the name Panax ginseng (ginseng). RNAcentral's name for it is "long non-coding RNA (PGIN_LNC008571)". The record is from RNAcentral. Lineage: Eukaryota; Viridiplantae; Streptophyta; Magnoliopsida; Apiales; Araliaceae.
GCAACGAUCCAGUUCUAUGUAUUUCAAAAAUACACCAAUACACUAAAUUAAAGUCUUCACUUUACAUGACUAAGACAACUCAUCCAUUUCCAUCUAACAUUGAGAACAAUAUAUUUCUUUAAUGGGUAAAGGUUCGAAAAUACCCCUGAUGUUUACUCCGAUAUCCCAAUUGCACCCUAAACUAUUUUUUUUCAAAAGUACCCUUAACGUUACAAAUUUAAGGUCAAUUAUGCCCCUCCCGUUAAAAAAAUUGGACGUCCUAAGCGAUUGACACGUGGCAAAAAUAAUUUUUUUUAUUCUUUUCUCUUUCUUCUCUCUCUUUCCUCUUCUUUUAUUCUCUCUCUUUUCUUUCUCUCACUCCUUUCUUCUUCCUCUAUUCUAAAAUAACACAACAGAUCUGGUUUCAUCUUCUCAUAGAAAAAAUCACAGGCCUGAUAAAAUAAUGACCUCCUUAUCCCUACGUGAUUCACCAUCAUGGUUCCCAGAACUGCUCCCGGAUCAUCCACAAGAUCCAUCUACACAAGCAACAACAAAUAUAUAAACCCAGAUCUGGGAGCUCCAUGUCAAUGAAAAAACAAAUAAGGAAAUCUCAAAGUACAUGAAUUCAUAAUCAAAUACUCCAUACGAAAGUAACUAAAAACUGAAAUUACCAAAAAUCGUUCUGUUUCUGAUAACAUGCUCUGCUCAUAGAUGACUUGUGAGAGCACACCAACCAAAAUAACCCCAAGAAUUGGGACUUUGUAAGAUAUCUAAUUUUCUCCAUCUCCAUCUCGACCUUCGCCUUUUCUUUUUCAACAGUUUUUUUUUGCCCUAGGUUCUUGAAGAAUAAUCCUUCGUUUCUCUCCUCAAAAAAUUUGACCUUCAAAUUCUGCUAACUUCUCUUCACUCUUUUCAAGCUCCAGUUUGUUUGAUUCUGCUAAUUCUUCAAAGGCUUGCAUCCUGCAUAGUGAAAAUACCGAAUCAACAGAGUCUGUGGCUUUAUCCGCUUCACGCGGCGGCGAUGUGUGGUCGGCCCGCUAGUCUUGGGACUAACGCAAGUGGAAUUACUGGUGGCGCCACCGGUGGUUCUGGGAGUUUAGAGAGAGAAAUGAGCAUACAAGGCAAAUAGAGAGGUUCUAUGGCAGUUCGGGAACCCAGAUCUGUUUUUUUAUUUUAGAACAGAGGAAGAAGAACAGAGAGAGGGAGAGAGAGAGAGAAAAAAAAAAUAGGGAGAAGAAAGGAAGAGAAAAGGGAGAAGAAAGAAAAAAAGAAUAAAAAAAAUAUUUUUGCCACGUGUCAAUCGCCUAGUAAGUCCGUUU